GCAACGGCUUUCCUCAAAGCCACAACACCGACCGCAGAGAGAAAAA
Non-coding RNA from Aedes albopictus (Asian tiger mosquito), 46 nucleotides. The record is from Rfam. NCBI's taxonomy places the organism in Eukaryota, Metazoa, Arthropoda, Insecta, Diptera, Culicidae.